Molecule: non-coding RNA, 291 nt
Organism: Pelobates cultripes (western spadefoot toad)
Lineage: Eukaryota; Metazoa; Chordata; Amphibia; Anura; Pelobatidae
Source: the annotation of a GenBank genome assembly
GCCCAACCCUACGUGUUUCGUCCGGUAAUCCGAUCUUCCUCAGGGGUAUCGUCUGUUAAGUCCUCAAUGUGAAGUCAAUCUGAUGGCUCUUUAGUGUCCGCUCUUUUUGAAUCCCGCUAGCCGCUCCUCUUUCUAACAGCAGACCAAUCCGAUGCUGUGAACCGCGGCUGUAGCACAUCACUCCAGGAUUGGAUGACGUCAUGUCUUCUUCCAUACAAGUGGACGUAAACGUGUGCGUUCCAUCUAUGCGAGGACAUAUAAAGCGCUUGCGGGUCAUUACUCGCAUUGAAU